Molecule: ribosomal RNA, 429 nt
Filed under: uncultured bacterium
Lineage: Bacteria
Description: bacterial SSU rRNA
Rfam family: Bacterial small subunit ribosomal RNA
Source: RNAcentral
UGGGGAAUCUUGCGCAAUGGACGAAAGUCUGACGCAGCCACGCCGCGUGAGUGAAGAAGGCCUUCGGGUUGUAAAGCUCUGUCGCCCGGGACGAAAAGUCAUUUGGCUAAUACCCAAGUGAUCUGACGGUACCGGGAAAGGAAGCACCGGCUAACUCCGUGCCAGCAGCCGCGGUAAUACGGAGGGUGCAAGCGUUGCUCGGAAUUAUUGGGCGUAAAGGGUAGGUAGGUGGUCUCAUUUGUCUGGGGUGAAAGCCUUGAGCUUAACUCGAGAAGUGCCUCAGAAACGGUGAGACUAGAGUCCUGGAGAGGGUCGUGGAAUUCCCGGUGUAGCGGUGAAAUGCGUAGAGAUCGGGAGGAACACCAGAGGCGAAGGCGGCGACCUGGACAGGUACUGACACUCAACUACGAAAGCGUGGGGAGCAAACAG